UCUGGACUCCAUGACAGACAUGUGCUGGAACAGGCUGGCAAGCUGUUAUGAGUUCCUGAAAAUUGCUGAGCAACCACUUGCAGAUGGUUUCCAUCUCAACUCUUCCACUCACCUGCUGAGAGAUUCUGAGCAUCUUUCAAUUAUCAGCUUGCCCUGCUGUCUCUGGGCUGGGAAAACAACAGUUUGUUUAGAAUAGCACAGACCUUGGCUACAUUGACUCAUGCAGUUGAUUGCUGAACCUGCCUUCCCAGGACCUGAAUCUCUGUGGACCAUGUUGAUCCCUUUGUACAUCCAGUUACGAACUUUACUCAGAUCCUAGACGGAGACUGGACACCAACACGGGACCUCAGAGCCCGAAACAUUAUGUAUCAGGUCUGAGCUGCUAAUCUCUGUUUCAUUUAUUUCUUCUGU
RNAcentral lists this long non-coding RNA (411 nucleotides) under Ictidomys tridecemlineatus (thirteen-lined ground squirrel). RNAcentral describes it as "lncRNA (ENSSTOG00000029388.1)". The record is from RNAcentral. Lineage: Eukaryota; Metazoa; Chordata; Mammalia; Rodentia; Sciuridae.